GUACACGCUGUGACUAGCAUAUCAAUAAGCGGAGGAAAAGAAACUAACAAGGAUUCCCCUAGUAACGGCGAGUGAAGCGGGAAGAGCUCAAAUUUGAAAUCUUAAAGGGUUUCCCUUUACGAAUUGUAGUUUAAAGAAGUGUUUUCUGUUGAGGUUUUGGUAAAAGUUCUUUGGAAUUAUUAGGACAUCAUAGGAGGGUGAGAAUCCCGUAUUUGACCCUUACUUUCAACUUUGUGAUACACUUUCAAAGAGUCGGAUUGUUUGGGAAUGCAGUCCAAAAUGGGUGGUAAAUUUCAUCUAAAGCUAAAUAUUGGCGAGAGACCGAUAGCGAACAAGUACCGUGAGGGAAAGAUGAAAAGAACUUUGAAAAGAGAGUUAAACAGUACGUGAGAUUGUCAAAAGGGAAGCGUUUGACACCAGUGUUGUUUUUCUGAAAAUCAAUUAAAGAACUGUUUAUGCUAAGUUGUUUAGACUUUAUCAGCUAACUGUUUAGUUUUGAGCUUUUCUUUAAUGCACUUUUCAGUUAACAAGUCAACAUCAAUUUCUUUUGCUGUAAAAAAGCUUGAGGAAGGUGGCUUGAGAUUCGUCUUAAGUGUUUAUAGCCUCUUGCCUAUGCAGUCGGAGAGAUUGAGGUCUGCAGCGUAGAUCCUUCGGGGCUAAAUGCAUUUGAGCUAAGUUAUAGCAUUUUAUAGACAACUUGUUGACUAUGAUUUGUCUUGUAGCUUACUCCGCUUAUGUUAUUUUACCUACGCUUAGGAUGUUGAGUCGUAGAGCACGCAG
Molecule: ribosomal RNA, 780 nt
Filed under: uncultured Neocallimastigales
Lineage: Eukaryota; Fungi; Neocallimastigomycota; Neocallimastigomycetes; Neocallimastigales
Description: partial large subunit ribosomal RNA
Rfam family: Eukaryotic large subunit ribosomal RNA
Source: RNAcentral